GGAGGAAGCAGGGGAUCGCAAGACCUUGCGCUUUUGGAGCGGCCGAUGCCUGAUUAGCUUGUUGGUGAGGUAAAAGCUCACCAAGGCUUCGAUCAGUAGCUGGUCUGAGAGGACGACCAGCCACACUGGGACUGAGACACGGCCCAGACUCCUACGGGAGGCAGCAGUGGGGAAUUUUGGACAAUGGGGGCAACCCUGAUCCAGCCAUGCCGCGUGAGUGAAGAAGGCCUUCGGGUUGUAAAGCUCUUUCAGCCGGAACGAAACGGUUACGGUUAAUACCCGUGACUACUGACGGUACCGGAAGAAGAAGCACCGGCUAACUACGUGCCAGCAGCCGCGGUAAUACGUAGGGUGCAAGCGUUAAUCGGAAUUACUGGGCGUAAAGCGUGCGCAGGUGGUUUUGUAAGUCAGAUGUGAAAUCCCCGGGCUUAACCUGGGAACUGCGUUUGAAACUACAAAGCUAG
Molecule: ribosomal RNA, 464 nt
Filed under: uncultured bacterium
Lineage: Bacteria
Description: bacterial SSU rRNA
Rfam family: Bacterial small subunit ribosomal RNA
Source: RNAcentral